AUAACUUGUCCAAAACUGGUGUUCCUGGGCCACCAGGUGUGAGAGGAGAACAGGAAGCUUUUCAAAGAAGAUCUUUCAGAUUCUGAGACACAAGUAUGAACCACCUCAGAUUUUCAAGGAAGGAGUGACCAGAGGUUAUUGGAGGAGUACAGGAUGGAUGCUAGAGCUUCUCCAAUGGGCCCUGCAAAGCCCAGGCACCCCAGACUGAGAUGGAGCAGCCACACCUAUUGUGGUUCUUCAACAAGACAUUCCUAUCAUGAACUUCACUGAUAGCCAUCUUCGGCAGCUUAUUGGGACACUUUGUGGUUUUCUUAUUUACUGUUGUAAGUGAUGCUAAUCAGAUCUUUUCCCCCACUGUUGCCAGUUUAAAGAACCUUUGACAGCAUUUGGAUGCGUUACGGAGGAAACACCACUCUACUAUAUAUUUGAGAGAGAUUGGCCCUCUCAAGAACUCCACCAAAAAGAUAAGA
Molecule: long non-coding RNA, 470 nt
Organism: Pelodiscus sinensis (Chinese soft-shelled turtle)
Lineage: Eukaryota; Metazoa; Chordata; Testudines; Trionychidae
Source: RefSeq, a predicted model, not a curated record